CAAUAGCGUAUAUUAAAGUUGUUGCAGUUAAAAAGCUCGUAGUUGGAUUUCGGGGCGGCCCGGCCGGUCCGCCGCGAGGCGAGCACUGGUCGGGCGCCCUUCCUCUCGAAGGCUUCGACUGCUCUUGAUUGCGGGGGUCGAGGAGUUCGGGACGUUUACUUUGAAAAAAUUAGAGUGUUCAAGGCAGGCCGUCGCCUGAAUACAUUAGCAUGGAAUAAUGGAAGAGGACCUCGGUCCUAUUUUGUUGGUUUCCAGGGCCGAAGUAAUGAUUAAGAGGGACAGUUGGGGGCAUUCGUAUUCAAUUGUCAGAGGUGAAAUUCUCGGAUUUAUGGAAGACGAACAAGUGCGAAAGCAUUUGCCAAGGAUGUUUUCAUUAA
RNAcentral lists this ribosomal RNA (377 nucleotides) under uncultured eukaryote. RNAcentral describes it as "partial 18S ribosomal RNA". It matches the Rfam family "Eukaryotic small subunit ribosomal RNA", at positions 592 to 976 of the family's 1831-position model. The record is from RNAcentral.